Molecule: ribosomal RNA, 93 nt
Filed under: Psychrobacillus insolitus
Lineage: Bacteria; Bacillati; Bacillota; Bacilli; Caryophanales; Bacillaceae
Description: partial 16S ribosomal RNA
Rfam family: Bacterial small subunit ribosomal RNA
Source: RNAcentral
CUAUUAUGGAGAGUUUGAUCCUGGCUCAGGACGAACGCUGGCGGCAUGCCUAAUACAUGCAAGUCGAGCGAAUGAUGAAGAAGCUUGCUUCUU